This 46-nucleotide non-coding RNA is filed under the name Trichobilharzia regenti. The record is from RNAcentral. Lineage: Eukaryota; Metazoa; Platyhelminthes; Trematoda; Strigeidida; Schistosomatidae.
GUACUGAUGAAGAGUCCGAGACUAGAACGAAACGACUGUCCAGUAC